GAGUUUCGGGCGCUGAGUCGAAUGGUCUUGGUCCGAAGCCUCUACGACGAAGCGUUCUUGAGAUAUUUCACUUUGAAAUUGCAAAAACGGGGGCCGCGCCCUGACGUCAUGCGGCCAUUUGGUUACAUCAUCACGGGCUGCCUACGUCAUUGUGGCAAAGUCGUUUCUCUUCGCCAAUCUACAAGCACUAAUUUUAGUUGGUAUUUCAAGGGAAGAUGGGCGAUUCCGAACAAUCCUCUGUCCCCAGCAAUGAAGGCAGCGAUGCUGAGGCCAGUGAGGACGACCAACAGCCCACCGCCGCGUAUGGUUGGGGCAGGGAGCCCAGAUACUCUGCUGAGGAGCUGCCAUCGCGUGUAACAAAUGUUGAGGAAGAAGAUGCUUCAGCAGCUGCGUCCGACAGAAGACGAGUAGCUUGGCCACCAGAAUCUCGAUUCGUUUGGGACUCCGACUGGUGCGAGCGUGGACAAAAGUGUAUAGCCAUGCCCAGCCUGCGGGAAUGAUUUUGCUGGUAGGAUGCUGCCGUCGUUGUCGACAAGACGGCCCAAGGUUUCUUGCGUAGCGGACCUCGCAGAUUACGAGAUCGUAUCCUUGCAUUAGGCUGUGCCCAUCACUGCUCUUCGAGGUUAUCUCGACAUGCAGAAGCCGCCAAUGCCAGUGACAGAAGAGUCUGACAUUAGAUCUCUACGCUAUGCGGCACACAGGCAGUACACACUAUGUACACGGCAAAUUGGGCAAGCACGUUCGUUGUCGUCUUCCAGCCUGCGUUGUGAAUACCAUCAGGCAAAGAUAUCCAAAUCCUGCACCACCUCAGCCUUCUCAGGAGGCUUCCACCUGGAAUUUGGCAGGGAAACACGCUUCUCCAAGGCAGGAACAUGGAGGUUGCCAUUUGCAACCGCUACCACCUCACACAUGAGCUUGUCAACAUACUCAUAGCUCUUUCUGUCGUAUAAUUUUCUAUUUGGCCACAGUCUUCUUUAUGCUUUGAGAACUGGACUUUAUACCUUCC
Long non-coding RNA from Sycon ciliatum, 1006 nucleotides. RefSeq lists it as uncharacterized. The transcript is spliced from 2 exons. The record is from RefSeq and is a predicted model, not a curated record. Lineage: Eukaryota; Metazoa; Porifera; Calcarea; Leucosolenida; Sycettidae.